AGUUGUUUAGCUUAAUAAAAGCUUGUAUCUUGAAAAUACACUAUAAAGUAUAGAAUCUUUAAUAACUUC
This 69-nucleotide transfer RNA is filed under the name Yuukianura szeptyckii. RNAcentral's name for it is "tRNA-Ser". Lineage: Eukaryota; Metazoa; Arthropoda; Collembola; Poduromorpha; Neanuridae. The record is from RNAcentral.